CCCAAAUGACCAAGGACAGCAUCUGCAAUGAUUUAACUCAUGAAUGGCAUUGUGUCUCAGGACUCUUUUGAUCACUGAAAACAAUCUCGGACACCUGUGAUAAUUAGAUUGGCAGGUGAGCCCAAUUUGAGGAAAAACUACUAAAGGGUACUCUACUGACCAGAAGGUUCACCUGAUAUCUUGAUAAUUCACGUAGAGCAACAGAAUUGCUGAAUGUAAAGGUAACACUGUUGUAUAGUGUAACAACAUAUAUUGAGUUC
This is a long non-coding RNA of Hyla sarda, 260 nucleotides long. RefSeq lists it as uncharacterized. The transcript is spliced from 3 exons. NCBI's taxonomy places the organism in Eukaryota, Metazoa, Chordata, Amphibia, Anura, Hylidae. The record is from RefSeq and is a predicted model, not a curated record.